GUUCAGUGUGAGGUCAUGGGAGCAAGAGAGUAAUGUGAUAGGGUAUUCUGAAUAAGCACAAUAAGGCGGGAUGGGUAAGCACAGGCAAGAAGUGGAUAUUACAAAGAAUGGGAGAGGAAACUGACCAGGGAAACAGAAUCCCUGGUCAGUGCUGCAGAGAACAUGAAGAUGACAGGAACCAUUCUUGAUAAUUUGGACCAAAUAAAAGGAUCAGGAUCACAUCCAAGAAAACACAUGACACUCUUCCUGGUCUCUGUGGCAAUUUCUGUUUUUGUUCAAUUUCAUGAGUAUAGGACAGAGCCAGAAACAACAAUUAAAAACAACAACAACAAAAUGCAAUUCAUAUUAUGCAACUAUAAAAAUGAGCAGAGAGGCUUCAAACAUGUGAACAAACUACAAAAAGCAAGCAACCUUGGAACUGAGUUUCCUAUUUCUUCAGGUACCAGGAGAUAGAAGACACAGCAUCAGGGAAACAUAUUGCGUAUGAAAACCUCUUCAGUUUCACUCCAUAACCUCAGACAACUUCUCCAGGCACGACUCCCAUCCUUCUGCGGUAAGGAGCAGUCCUCUGUCAUCAUCACCACUAUAUUCUAUGCCUUAAACUGGCAUUUGUCUCAUGUUUCAAUAAUAUUAAUAGUCACAUAUUUAUACUCUGAUGUUAACUUUUAAUUUUAACUUGCCAUUAUCUGAUGGAGGUGAACUCCAUUAUUUUUAGUUUAAAAUGUUUCUUAGUUUUCUAGAGAUCAGCUGUAAGAGGUAUGUUGUCAUCAUCAAAUGGUGAGGAUUUAUCCCAAGUACUUUAGCAGGAUAGAAUUCUAAUCAAGCUUUGCUUGGAUAAUAUACUAAUGUGUUAGUGACUGUAAUAUUUUCCAAUGAUGCAAGAUAUAUUUAAAAUCUAAUCAUUGUCCUGAUAAUAGCAAAAUGUUAGCAUUAUUUUCAAUCAUCUUAAGUGUCCUGGGGUGGCGGUCAGGGAGGGAGGCCACACAGUCAUCAUCUGUCAACCAGAAUCUUUCCUUUUUUAUUGUUUUAUAGGGGUAGACUUGGGUCAGAAUCGAGCUGAGACAAACUUGAGAAGUUAAGUAGGAACAAUUUUGCCCUACUCUUCCCUUUCUGCCAAUGCACAUUUCUGCUCAGCCUGCUGCUUAGAUGCUGCCUCCUUUCGUGGUCUGAUAAUGGAUUAAGGUGUUAGCCCUCUCAGGGUUAUUUGUAUUUUAAUAAUGCAAAGUACCACAUGAUUUUAAGAACUGCAAGGCUAACAUUCUAAAACUGUCUCAGGAAUGUGAUUCCGCUUCCUUCCAAUGCCUCUGAUGCACAGCCUCCUCUCCUCUCUCUUAAAAAAAGACCUUGAAGCAGGUUAUGGACUCCCCAGCCUUCCGGGACUCUAAGGUACAUUUCCCUUUGUGGAUGCUUACAGUGCAAGCCCGAUCAGGUUCAAGAGUCAGGUGAGUAUAAUUACAUGCUGAUGUCUAUCAGAAUAAAAGAUAGUCAAGAGACAUUUAUGCCACCCUUAUAUAUAUUAAGUUAUUAAGAAUAUAAAAAUAAUUAUCCCACUAACAUCACUUUGCAGUGUCAAGAUAUAUAGAGAGACACAGUUCAUAAUUUUACACUUAAUUAAUGCACAGUAAUAGAUUAGUUUCUCCAUAAUUGAAUAACAGCCUAUGCUGAGUCUUCUGACAGGCUUUGGGCAAUAAGCUUGAAUGGCCCUGCUCUGAUUAGUUUAAGACAUGCCUGUGAGUGCCUUUCUUUCUCUUUCUUUCUUUCUUUCUUUCUUUCUUUCUUUCUUUCUUUCUUUCUUUCUUUCUUUCUUUCGCACAGAUAUGGGGGGUUUAACAGAGUAUAUAAAUCUCAGGGAAGUCCUUUGCUCAUGAACAAUGAGUCACAAAAUGAUUAUGGACAUCAUAGGUUAUUUAUUGUGGUUCUAGGACAUUUUGGAACUAUGAUCAUUAAUAUACUAUAGUUGUGAAUCUUUUUGGUUUUCUGCAUCUGAAGAAUUAAAUGGGAAAAGGCCAUCAAAGAACGUUUCACUUUCAUGCUUGACUACCUUAAAGAAUCCUACAUAAAAUAAAUCCAAAUUUUAUGGCUUACAUUUUAGAGACAGUUAGUAUUUUAUGAAGAUGCUUAACCACCAGGAUUAUAAAGACAAGCAGAGAUCUACAAUAAAAAAGCAACCUUUGUUUUAUCUUGAAUGGUCUAGAUUAAAAGGUAAUAAUGUUCACUACUAAUUUUCAAGCAUAUUUAAUGCCAAGCACUACACGUACAUUAUCUCAUUUCAUCCAUCUAAAAUAAACCACAAAAAAGGUACACAUAUCCCCAUUUUACAGUUGAAAACAUUGAGACUCAUAAAGGCUUAUUUGCAUACUUUCAAGCGUGGACAUUUCUAAAUGCAAAACUCAUGCAUUUCCCUCAGUGUCAUGCUGCUACUCUAAUUAGAAAAGCAGUGUGGAAGGGACAACAUGAAUAAUUUAAUUUGACUCAUGUGUAGGCUGUUUUCCAGCUAGUUACCAUCUCUUUACUAUGAACUUGAUUAAACAAGCCAAGCUUGGCUUAAAAUAAUGCUCCUCAAGCAAUUUGCAUCUAUCUUUAAGGUUGGCAGGGAAACUGACCUCUACCAAUCUGUUUUUGCUUAUGACCAUAAAACAAACAAGACCUUGGAUAAAACCUAAAAGGAAGAAAGAUGUUUUUAUUAUAACAAUUAAGACUCAUGCAUGAGCUAUUCAUUAAUGCCCUGCAAGUUGACUUUUUGGCAUAGAAAAAUACAAUCAAAAUUCCAGAGACAUCCCAAAACUUUUCUAUCACACAUUUAAAACAAACGAACAAAUGAAUUAGUAGCUAAGUGAAGCAAUCUCUACAGUAUUAAUACAGAUUUUGAUAUAUUUUAAAACUAACCUUUAACUUAUUGAGCUUAUGCAUAGGUUAUAUAUCUUAUUUCCUCAUGGAGAUAUUAGAAGAUUAUUUUCUGAAUGAUUUUUUUUUUUUGCUUUGAGUUUCUUGGAAGUAGAGGUGGUGUUAAACAUCCAAUAUCUUAACAAUCUACCUAUUUUUUAAUAGAAAAUUACUUUAGCAGUGUUUUGUAGUUUUCCUUUUAGAGAUAUUUCAUUUUUUUGGUUAGAUGUAUUCCAAGGUAUUUUUUUUUUUUUGGUAUGGCUAUUUUAAAAGAUUGCAUUCUUGAUUUGGCUCUCAGCUUGAACAUUAUUGGUUUAUAAAAUGCUACUGAUUUUUGUACAUUGAUUUUGAAUCCUGACACUUUACCAAAAUCAUUUAUCAGCUCCAGCAGCCUUAGUGGUGGAGUCUGUAGGGUUUUUUAGAUGUAGAAUCAUAUCAUCAGUUUUAAGAGAAAUAAUCUGACUUCUUCUUUUCCUGUUUGGAUGACUUUUACUUCUUUCUCUUUCCUGAUUGCUUUGGCUAGGACUUCCAGAACCAUGUUGAAUAGGAGUGGUAAUUGUCGGCAUCCUUGUCUCAUUCCAGUUCUUAAGGGAAAUGCUUCCAGCUUUUGCUCAUUCAGUAUAAUAUUGACUGUGGGUUUGUUAUAGCUGAAAGAAACAUAGAUGAUACAAACAAAUGGAAUAACAUUCGAUGCUCAUGGAUUGGAAGAGUUAAUAUUGUUAAAAUGGCCACACUUCCCAAAGCAAUUUACAGAUUAGUGUUUUCCCAUCUAACUUCAAUGUUAAUUUUCAUGGGUAGAAUUAGAAAAAACUAUUAUAAAAUUCAUAUGAAAUGGAAAAAAAAAACCCAAAUAGCUAAAACAAUCCUAAGCAAAAGGAACAAAGCCAGGGGCAUCACACUACCUGACUUCAAACUAUACUACAAGCCUACAGUAACCAGAGCAGCGUGGUACUGGUAUAGAAACAGACACGUACACCAAUGAAACAGGAUAGAGGACCCAGAAAUAAAGUCCCACACCUGUAAGUAUCUGAUAUUUGACGAAGUUGAUAAUAACAAAUAGGAC
RNAcentral lists this long non-coding RNA (3946 nucleotides) under Macaca mulatta (Rhesus monkey). RNAcentral describes it as "lncRNA (ENSMMUG00000053823.1)". Lineage: Eukaryota; Metazoa; Chordata; Mammalia; Primates; Cercopithecidae. The record is from RNAcentral.